CGGACGGGUGAGUAACACGUGGAUAACCUACCUAUAAGACUGGGAUAACUUCGGGAAACCGGAGCUAAUACCGGAUAAUAUAUUGAACCGCAUGGUUCAAUAGUGAAAGACGGUUUUGCUGUCACUUAUAGAUGGAUCCGCGCCGCAUUAGCUAGUUGGUAGGUAACGGCUUACCAAGGCAACGAUGCGUAGCCGACCUGAGAGGGUGAUCGGCCACACUGGAACUGAGACACGGUCCAG
Molecule: ribosomal RNA, 240 nt
Filed under: uncultured Staphylococcus sp.
Lineage: Bacteria; Bacillati; Bacillota; Bacilli; Caryophanales; Staphylococcaceae
Description: partial 16S ribosomal RNA
Rfam family: Bacterial small subunit ribosomal RNA
Source: RNAcentral